CCCGGCAACCGGCGGCGAUGCGGACCUCUCCCGGGCUCGGGGACCACCCGCGGCCCCCGACGGCUCUCGGAGCCGGCCAGGGUGGGGGCCUCAGGGCCAGGGUGGGCCUCGCAAACUUGGACGUUUACGUUCUCGGCUUCCUCCCAGCCUAGGCAGUGAGUGCAAACUCGAGCCGUCCGCGCUAACGAGCCCGGGCGACUGCGGCGAGCGCGGGUCAGCGGCGCGGGUCUGGGGUCGCGAGUGGCUCAGGAGCGCGGCCCGAGGGAGCUCCGCCUGCCGUCGUCAGGCGCGGUCCGCAGUUCAGACCCAGGAUCCGUAAGGCCGCGGGGAGGACUCCCAAGACCCCAACCCCGUGCUUCCCCUUCGGAAUCUAAGCUCCCAGGCAGGAAAGAGUUAUCUACACUCGCUGCCUCUGCUCCAGUUCACUUCUCGACCUGGGCAAAUCCUGGACAAUUGGAAGGACUUCUCGGUCGUCGUUUUCACCUCACAGGUUCUCCUGGUGCCUGCUUGGUGCCAGGCACUGGGGUGACCCUAGAGGACUGCACGGAUAGCCCCUAGGGUCCUAGCACUUCCUGGAGAUGAGCGACGUGCAGACACCUAUGUGCUUACUUGGGAAGUGGGAUUGAACCCAGGGAGCUCUACCACCGCGCUGCAUCCCCAGCCCUUCAUAUUUUUUUCUUUUGAGGCAGGGUCUCACUGGCAGCAGUAGCUGGGAACACAGGCAUGCUGGGAGUCUAGGUGGGUGUCCCCCUGCACAUCUUAAAUACAGCUGUCCUCCUCAAGA
Molecule: long non-coding RNA, 784 nt
Organism: Marmota monax (woodchuck)
Lineage: Eukaryota; Metazoa; Chordata; Mammalia; Rodentia; Sciuridae
Exons: 2
Source: RefSeq, a predicted model, not a curated record